This 418-nucleotide ribosomal RNA is filed under the name bacterium enrichment culture clone ALO1_GLFRUDD03F9SSU. RNAcentral describes it as "bacterial SSU rRNA". It matches the Rfam family "Bacterial small subunit ribosomal RNA", at positions 9 to 429 of the family's 1533-position model. The record is from RNAcentral.
GAGUUUGAUCAUGGCUCAGAUUGAACGCUGGCGGCAUGCCUUACACAUGCAAGUCGAACGGCAGCACGGGAGCUUGCUCCUGGUGGCGAGUGGCGAACGGGUGAGUAAUGCAUCGGAACGUAUCCUGGAGUGGGGGAUAACGUAGCGAAAGUUACGCUAAUACCGCAUAUUCUGUGAGCAGGAAAGCGGGGGACCUUCGGGCCUCGCGCUCUUGGAGCGGCCGAUGUCGGAUUAGCUAGUUGGUGAGGUAAAGGCUCACCAAGGCGACGAUCCGUAGCAGGUCUGAGAGGAUGAUCUGCCACACUGGAACUGAGACACGGUCCAGACUCCUACGGGAGGCAGCAGUGGGGAAUUUUGGACAAUGGGGGCAACCCUGAUCCAGCCAUGCCGCGUGAGUGAGGAAGGCCUCGGUUGUAAG